RNAcentral lists this ribosomal RNA (252 nucleotides) under uncultured bacterium. RNAcentral describes it as "partial 16S ribosomal RNA". It matches the Rfam family "Bacterial small subunit ribosomal RNA", at positions 524 to 776 of the family's 1533-position model. The record is from RNAcentral.
UACGUAGGGUGCUAGCGUUAUCCGGAUUUACUGGGCGUAAAGGGUACGUAGGCGGUUAGAAAAGUUAGAAGUGAAAGGCUAUAGCUCAACUAUAGUAAGCUUUUAAAACUGUUUAACUUGAGAGAUGGAAGGGAAAGUGGAAUUCCAUGUGUAGCGGUGAAAUGCGUAGAUAUAUGGAGGAACACCAGUGGCGAAGGCGACUUACUGGUCUGUGAUUGACGCUGAGGCUCGAAAGCGUGGGUAGCGAACAGG